This 253-nucleotide ribosomal RNA is filed under the name uncultured bacterium. RNAcentral describes it as "partial 16S ribosomal RNA". It matches the Rfam family "Bacterial small subunit ribosomal RNA", at positions 524 to 776 of the family's 1533-position model. The record is from RNAcentral.
UACUAAGGGUGCAAGCGUUAUUCGGAGUUACUGGGCGUAAAGAGCGCGUAGGCGGUUUUUUAAGUCAUUUGUUACAUCUCCCGGCUUAACCGGGAACAUGCAGGUGAAACUGGAGAACUAGAGUGUAAGAGAGAGAAGUGGAAUUCUCGGAGUAGCGGUAAAAUGCGUAGAUCUCGAGAGGAACACUGGAGGCGAAGGCGGCUUCUUGGCUUACAACUGACGCUCAAGUGCGAAAGCGUGGGGAGCAAACAGG